UUUCUCUCUCUCUCAUCUUCCCCUUCCUCAGAAAGAAAAACCCUAACUCAAGCUGCGCCUCCCUUAGAAAAAAAAACCCUCACUCAAGAUUUGUUUAACCAGUGAUUUAACAAAGGAAUCAGUUUCAGUAUGAAGCAAAUCAGAAAUCCUACAUCUGAAGAAACGAAACCAAAUCUCAAAUUCAGAGAAGAAAGAAAAGAAGCCAUGGCGGCUCCAUAACUCAGAGAAAUCGAGAAGAUGAAGAUUAAUCUGCUACUGUGGGUCUGGUUAUUUUGAGAUGCAAGAGACGAAGAAAAGACGAUGGAAAUUGCUAGAGAGACCAGUCUUUCUGUUGAUGAAGAAAUCAGAUCGAGAUGAAAUUGGUUCGAAUGAAUUGCAAGAGCUGAAAGAACACAACCAAACUCUUCACUGAUUUGAACCCUAACUUGGUCGUUAUCAUCUUCACUGAAAUCUGGGUAACUGCCCAUACGACCAACACACUAAAACCCCUAUAAAUCUGUUUCCUUCGCUGCUGUAUCUCUCAGACAAACCCAUUCCGGAUCUGGGUUUAGAAAUCCCCAAAUUGAUUGGAAUCUCUGGCUCAAACACCCAUCAAUUCCAUCCAGCAAACUCAUUAUCAAUAUCAAAUCCACCUUCAGCUGCCUUGUCAAACCUUAGUUCUCUCAAGAACAACGAAUUCCAGUUUGAUUUCAUCGAUUCAUAAAUUUAUUUUGCGUGUGUGUUUGAAGAUUAAAUUUUUUUUAAAAAAAUAUUUAAGGGUUCGUGAAAUGGGGGUGUUGGAGGGUGAGAGUGGCGGUUCAUCACCGUCUAUGUCAAUGGUGAAGAAGAAGCUUGGUGUUACAAAUCCAAUUUCAAUUGCUGGUCCGACUGAAUCUGAUUUGCAGAGAAGCUUAGAAUUGGAGAAGUUUUUGGUUGAUUCUGGAUUAUACGAAAGUAAAGAAGAAGCUGCUCAAAGAGAAGAGAUUCUGAGUCAGAUCAAUCAGUUGUGGAUUUAGUUGUUAAUUCGGGACCUUCGUAGUUGAGCUUCUGGAUCUUUAUCAUUGGAUGGAUUUAUUGUUAUUAACAAGUGUUUGGGGCUUCAAUUUUAUCUGUGAUUUUGUUGUUAGUAAAAUGUGUGGUUGAUUUUGAUGUUUCAUAUGGUUUUGAUGUUAAAUUGAUAAUGUUGAAAUCUCUCAGUUAGAUUAGCAUUGUUGGGGACAAGUGAUUGGGAUUUAUUGUUAUCCCAACCACUUUGGUCUAAGGUCUAUUGCAAAUGGGUACAAAUUACAUUGUUAAAGAUUGAAUUAAUAACUAUGCACGACUGUAGUAGUGCCUUUAGCCUCAGAUGGUGUAUUUUCUGUAGUAGUGCUCGGUGGUGUUCUAGUUUCCAUGUAUGUAUGGCCAUCGUAUUGGAUAAAAUGAGGUAAGGCACUACAUUUCUAUUGGAUUGAUCUUUGAAAGCCGUGGUGUUGGUUAGCUAGUAUUUGGUCGGGUCAUGGAUUGUUUGGAUUUUAGUUUGGUUACUUACAGUUGAUCCUAACAUGAUUCUAUGGAUAGUAAAUGUACAUUUGUUUCAAGUCGAAACUUUCAUUUGUUUUCAAUGAUUUUCAAAGGGUGUGCAUCAAAAUGUUUACCACAUGGACUUGGGUACUGUUGACUUUAAAGCAAGUACUCCUGCCAACACCUGACUAUGCACGAAUAGUUUCUUGAUUACUGGAUGUGGGUUUUUAUAAUCUUGUGUUUCAUGCUACUGCUGAUACAUAGUGUACAAACCAUUGCUUUAUAGCUUAUACAUUUAGUGGCGAUACCGUUAAGUACUUGUUUCAUAUAGUGGAUUAAUGGGAUAUAUAAAAGUGCAUUCUUUUAUUUACAUAAUAGUGUUUUGUUAUUGCCUUUUUAAUUUAUUUGCAAUGUGUUAGUCAGGGGAGAAAUAAGAAGAAGAAUUGGUUUGAAAUUUAUUUAUUUUUACUUCUCUUUUAUUAUUACAAGUCAGUUGAUGCUUUUGUUUGGUUGCAAUGAAACUGCAGGUGCGUUGCAGUGAGGUUGAUGGAGAUUGCAAGGGGUCUGAUGUUGAUACUGGGAGCUCGUGAUGAUUGCAGGUUAGGCUUGUUAGCUGAGCUUGAGUUGACAUGAAAUUGGAACUGUAUGAAUGAAUGGAUUGUAGUGGAGAUGCAGAGAUGAAGUUGUAGGGAAAUUGCAGAUGCCGGUGGUCACAAUGGCUGCGACAAUGUGUUUGAGGACUUGAUUGAUUUCUGUAAAGACACUGGACUGCAGUCAAGUACGACUGCCACAAGAAAUUCAAUUAUUAAGAUGAUCGGCUCAUUGUUUAACUUAGUUGCCCCAGAUAUCAAAGGGUUUAUGUCUUAUGUGAGCACUCGAGGCAGAGUAUGAAAACAAUCCAUUCGAGGUAUAUAAGCUCAUUGCUUAACUGUGUUUUUUGCGCUUCAUCCUCUUGCGCUUAUUUUUUUCGUCUUGCAACACCCACAGUAAGAUUCCAAGGGUUAAGAGAUGAUUUUUGAAGGUGAGAGAGAAUAGCUAGAGGGGUUUUACUGAACCAGAAGUGUUAUUAGAUUAUUUUUUUCAGUGUUGAAGUUCUGUAAAACUGAUCUUCUGUAGUAACAAACAAUAGUGAUUAUAAUUGGAAAUCUGAUCUUGUUUCAUGGUUAUUUAA
Long non-coding RNA from Papaver somniferum (opium poppy), 2650 nucleotides. RefSeq lists it as uncharacterized. The transcript has 4 exons. The record is from RefSeq and is a predicted model, not a curated record. Lineage: Eukaryota; Viridiplantae; Streptophyta; Magnoliopsida; Ranunculales; Papaveraceae.